Long non-coding RNA from Rosa chinensis, 1009 nucleotides. RefSeq lists it as uncharacterized. The transcript has 8 exons. Lineage: Eukaryota; Viridiplantae; Streptophyta; Magnoliopsida; Rosales; Rosaceae. The record is from RefSeq and is a predicted model, not a curated record.
UGGAUGGAGUUAUUGUUGAAUCUUCAAGAUCAGAAUUUAGUGCCUUCUAUUACGGCAAGAGUGCUGUUCGUUUAGUAAUGGGGAAGCUGGUUUGGUUGAGUUGGGGAAUUGGAGCUAUAAAGCAACAGAAUGAGGUAACAUCAGAAACCCAAAACGACAGUUGACGAAAUGAGCCACGGCCUGUGCCCAGGUAAGAUCUACGUGAUUGCUGCUAAGAAGUCUUCAGGGAAGGUGGUGACUACGAAAAGAACAAAAUUCAGCGGCUUCAACGCAUUCUCGAACAGGGAAGACAAGGGAAAGAGAUGCUGCGUUAAAUGCCAUUCAAUCACCUUUAUUUGAUAUUGGUAUAGAGAGGGCUACUGGAAUUGUCUGGAACAUAACUGGUGGAACUGAUUUGACACUAUAUGAGGUAAAUGCAGCAGCUGAGGUUAUUUAUGAUCUUAUUGAUCCAACAGCAAAUUUAAUAUUUGGAGCAGUGACAGAUCCAUCACUCAGUGUUCAAGUUAGCAUCACUCUAAUUACUUCUGGAUUCAAACACCAAGAAGAAAGUGAUGGGAGGCCAAUCCAGGCACAAGGAGACAUUACCCUUGGAAUCAAUCGAAGACGUUCCUCCUUCUCAGAAGGCAGUUCAGUUGAGAUUCCUGAUUUCUUGAAGAAGAAAGGACACUCACGUUAUCCAAGGGUUUGAAAUGAUUCCUUUUUAUUCCAAUGAGUGCCUUGGCUGAGGGCCUUCCAGCCUCUUCAUUACCACAUCAGCAUCAAUAUGAGGGAUUUCAGUAUGCCUCGUUAGAUACAAGAUGAUAGAUCCUCGAUAUGUCAUUUGUUAGUACUUAGUAGUGGUUUCUAGCCUUCGUAUGAGUCUGAGCAUUAUGUCUGUUCCCUUUUGUUCCCAGAAUAUUUCAAUAAAAGCCAUUGUCGUGUAUAGAGUUUUCCAUCUAGGAAGUGAGAUAGAACUUAUGGAGAAUCAUGAAUUGCUUUGCUUUAGAGAAAAUUCUUCUUUGUUACUUAA